This is a long non-coding RNA of Homo sapiens (human), 1209 nucleotides long. Ensembl annotates it as NSUN5 pseudogene 1. Its record names the gene NSUN5P1. The record is from Ensembl. NCBI's taxonomy places the organism in Eukaryota, Metazoa, Chordata, Mammalia, Primates, Hominidae.
GCGACAGAGCCGUAAAGGCGCGCGGGAACAUGGGGCUGUACGCUGCGGUGGCAGGCGUGCUGGCCGGCGUGGAGAGCCGCCAGGGCUCUAUCAAGGGGCUGGUGUACUCCAGCAACUUCCAGCCUUGAUGACUUACAAGCCCUCAAGGGGAAGCAUUUUCUCCUGGACUCCUUGAUGCCGGAGCUGCUGGUGUUUCCCGCCCAGACAGAUCUGCAUGAACACCCACUGUACCGGGCCGGACACCUCAUUCUGCAGGACAGGGCCAGCUGUCUCCCAGCCAUGCUGCUGGACCCCUGCCAGGCUCCCAUGUCAUCGAUGCCUGUGCCGCCCCAGGCAAUAAGACCAGUCACUUGGCUGCUCUUCUGAAGAACCAAGGGAAGAUCUUUGCCUUUGACCUGGAUGCCAAGCGGCUGGCAUCCAUGGCCACGCUGCUGGCCUGGGUUGGCGUCUCCUGCUGUGAGCUGGCUGAGGAGGACUUCCUGGCGGUCUCCCCCUUAGAUCCGCGCUAUCGUGAGGUCCACUAUGUCCUGCUGGAUCCUUCCUGCAGUGGCUCGGGUAUGCCGAGCAGACAGCUGGAGGAUCCCGGGGCAGGGACACCUAGCCCGGUGCGUCUGCAUGCCCUGGCAGGGUUCCAGCAGCGAGCCCUGUGCCACGCGCUCACUUUCCCUUCCCUGCAGCGGCUCGUCUACUCCAUGUGCUCCCUCUGCCAGGAGGAGAAUGAAGACAUGGUACCAGAUGCGCUGCAGCAGAACCCGGGCGCCUUCAGGCUAGCUCCCGCCCUGCCUGCCCGGCCCCACCGAGGCCUGAGCACGUUCCCGGGUGCCGAGCACUGCCUCCGGGCUUCCCCCAAGACCACGCUUAGCGGUGGCUUCUUCGUUGCUGUAAUUGAACGGGUCGAGAUGCCGAUCUCAGCCUCACAGGCCAAAGCAUCAGCACCAGAACGCACACCCAGCCCAGCCCCAAAGAGAAAGAAGAGACAGCAAAGAGCCGCAGCCGGUGCUUGCACACCGCCUUGCACAUAGCAGAGGCUCCAGGCUGACUCCUUCCUGGUGGGAAAGGAAGAUGCCUGUCCUCUCCGUGGAGGACCCUGGGCCCUCACCGCAGGCAGCAGUUUGCAUUUUGAAAGGUUAUUGGGUCCCUUCCUCGGGCUGUGUUCUUGCUGGUGAGCAAAAGUGUUGCCUGCAGAAAUAAAAUGCAGAACGUACUCUA